UCCCGCAACGAGCGCAACCCUUAUCCUUUGUUGCCAGCGGUUCGGCCGGGAACUCAAAGGAGACUGCCAGUGAUAAACUGGAGGAAGGUGGGGAUGACGUCAAGUCAUCAUGGCCCUUACGAGUAGGGCUACACACGUGCUACAAUGGCGUAUACAAAGAGAAGCGACCUCGCGAGAGCAAGCGGACCUCAUAAAGUACGUCGUAGUCCGGAUUGGAGUCUGCAACUCGACUCCAUGAAGUCGGAAUCGCUAGUAAUCGUAGAUCAGAAUGCUACGGUGAAUACGUUCCCGGGCCUUGUACACACCGCCCGUCACACCAUGGGAGUGGGUUGCAAAAGAAGUAGGUAGCUUAACCUUCGGGAGGGCGCUACCACUUUU
This 378-nucleotide ribosomal RNA is filed under the name bacterium 14S525. Its description in RNAcentral is "bacterial SSU rRNA". It matches the Rfam family "Bacterial small subunit ribosomal RNA", at positions 1085 to 1463 of the family's 1533-position model. The record is from RNAcentral.